CCAAACACACUUAGUGAAAAUCGUAACAUUCAUCUUCUGUAUUCUUUCUCUCUCCAAUCGAUUCAAUUUUUCACAAGGAACCAGAGCGUUCCUUCAUCUCGAACUGUUUGAAUUGGCCGAGUCAAGCUUCAAGCUCCUGGUAAUCGCACCAUCUUCUGUGAUGAUCGUUAAUCUAAUCAUCAUCUUCGAUUUAAGGAUUUUAAUUUCAUGAUAGCUUUCUAAAGUAAAUUGGUGAUAUUUCAAUUGGAAUUCUGUGUAAUUGUAUGUAUCGGAGAUUCGGAGUGUAAGGAUUGGAGUACAUGGUUCAGAUGGAAUAUUUUGUAUCAGUUUUAGAUUGGUUGAAGAACUAUAUCAAAGUGAAGGUCGAAAAGAAGAAUGGAAGGGUUUAUUAUUUUACUGAAUGAUGGGCUUUAAUGAAGGAUUAUUAUAAUAUCCUAGGAUGCUCUUGGAUCACUCUCAUAUAUGCAAAUCGCUUCCUCUUUCUCUUUCGCGGCGUUACUUGGAAAGAAGAAGAAUUUAUCUAUCCUAGAUACAGUCCUCCUAAGCGUAUGCUAUUGCAACACCUUUCUCCAGGUUCUUUGAGGAACACCAUCAUUCCUAACGCCCUUGAUGUUGUUUACUUUCUUCCAAGGAAGUUUUACCACUCAUUUGAGAAGUCGUUGCCAAAAUCUGAUGUCAACUCAGGUUUUUUGGUAUGAUGUCUUUUGAAUUUGUAUGUCUAUGUUUUUUUUUGGCUUCAUUUUUUGUUUUUAUCUAUUUGUGUUGUGUGCUCAAUGCUGCCAACAUAUCACACAUAAUCUUCACAAAGAGAGAAAGAAUAUGACUGCUGAUAUAAUUUGGUUUGAUAUUUGAAAUUAUAACGAUUUGAGAAUAAACGCAACUGAAGUAUUCAUUCCACCAUUGAUGCCGCAUUCUACCUUUAACUUGAUGUGCAGGCUAUUUUUUUUACUGUAAUCACUGUAACUUGGUCUGUUAUAUGCUUCAACUUUGUUUGUACUUAUUCUUCAGCAAUAUUAAUUGAUUCAAAUGUACUGCUGAUUUAGAUUAAAUUUAUUUGUUAGGGGCAUGAAAUUCAAUUGACUUUUCCCAUGAAUCUGAUAUCCUCCGAAAACCACUCUAUAUACAAAUAUGUUAUAAUGAUCCGAUAUAGAUAACGAUCACGAUGAUAAAGUCAUUGUUCCUCUAUAUCCAAAAAUACUAAGAUGUCAUUUCUCAUGAAUCUCAUAGUAAAUAUUUCUGAAUAACAUUCAUUCACAAUUUUUUAUAUUGUGGAAAUUAAUUUUGACACCCCUCCCAUUAAUCCAAUUAUUCUGAAAAUCCUUAUUACCUUCUAAAAUCUACCAGCAAGUUUUUUAGGGAUAAGGUUUAACACAAGAUGCUUUCAGAAGUGAACUGCAUUAACGAACAGGACCAUUCAUUUUUAUGCAUCAUAGAUUAAUAUAAGCCAUUUUGUAAAGUUGUUGCAGGCAAGCUGCAAACUGAAUUAAACAAGGAGUUUAAGCAGAUAUGCACCCAUGAAUGGUGCCCUAUAGAACAGAAGUAGUAAAUGCAUGUUUUUUGCUCAAUGCACUUAUCAUUAUUGCAAAAAUCCUUGAUAUACUAAAGACAGCUACUUCAGUUUAUAUUUGUGCAGGGCUCGAGGUAAAUUCCUGUUACAUGUGUUGUGUGCUCAAUUAUAGCUACUCAGCAUCCACAAAUGAAAUUGAAGAUAAGCACUGGUAUAAGUAGUGUGCUCAAUGUA
Long non-coding RNA from Medicago truncatula (barrel medic), 1741 nucleotides. RefSeq lists it as uncharacterized. NCBI's taxonomy places the organism in Eukaryota, Viridiplantae, Streptophyta, Magnoliopsida, Fabales, Fabaceae. The record is from RefSeq and is a predicted model, not a curated record. The transcript has 3 exons.